RNAcentral lists this long non-coding RNA (748 nucleotides) under Mus spicilegus (steppe mouse). RNAcentral's name for it is "lncRNA (ENSMSIG00000020175.1)". The record is from RNAcentral. Lineage: Eukaryota; Metazoa; Chordata; Mammalia; Rodentia; Muridae.
AUGGCCAGAGUACAGCCAGGUUUCACCUGCUCCCUUCCCAGAGAGAAGAUUUUCCUCCUCUCCCCACCCUUGCACAGCCACUGCCUGCUCACCAGCCCAGCCCUUUGUGCCCAUGUGUUGUCAUGGAGAUGGGCCAUUCACAAGCCUGGCACUUCAAGGCUUCCAACCUCUCCUGGUGGGCUAGAGAGUGAGAGCUGGGAUGAAGGUCUGCAUUCCCAACAGAAAAGUCUUCCCUUUGUCCAUUUGAACACCACACCCUGCCAGGGAGAAAGUCUACAGCAGGAUUUUCUGAUUGCUGCUGGAUCCUCUGCACCCCACCCUCUCCCUAAGAAAUGGAGUGAAGCCAGUGAGGCCGGAAGUCUAAGACACAGCCACACCCACACAGCCCACCCUCAAGCCCUGGACCUCCCAGGAGCUCAGGGGAAGUUGUGGUCAUGCAUUUGCUGUCUCGGAACUGACCUCAGCCAGGUUCCAGACACACGGACCGACAGCAGCGUGAAAGGCAUCUGACAUGGAACCCAGCAAGACAGACAUAUGGAUUCAACCCACCAGGUCUCUCACCACCAAGGAUAGCACUUCAGGGUACUUCAGGCUGGGAUCAGUGCUCCCCCGGGAGGUAUAGAGGACUCAGGAGGCAAUGGUCACAGACUACCUGAGCUGGGGGCAAAAACUUCCCUGGACAGAGGCUGGGCAGAUUCUGCUUGGUCUUGCUAAUAAAGACAUCAUUUUAAAAUAAGCUUUUCUUUGA